CCCUUAGAUGUUCUGGGCUGCACGCGUGCUACAAUGAAGCGUCCAACAAGAUGCGAAGCCGAAAGGCUCAGCGGAUCUUUGAAGUCGUUUCGUGACCGGGACAGUUGAUUGCAAUUAUUCGACUCGAACGAGGAAUUCCUUGUAAUCGCGAUUCAUCAUAUCGCGCUGAAUGCGUCCCUGCCCUUUGUACACACCGCCCGUCGCUCCUACCGAUUGAGCGAUCCGGUGAAUUAUUUGGAGUGUCCACGCAAGCCAAUCCGUUUACGUGGGUGCGAAAUUUUGUAAACCUUAUCGCUUAGAGGAAGGAAAAGUCGUAACA
Molecule: ribosomal RNA, 319 nt
Filed under: uncultured eukaryote
Lineage: Eukaryota
Description: partial 18S ribosomal RNA
Rfam family: Eukaryotic small subunit ribosomal RNA
Source: RNAcentral